This 71-nucleotide transfer RNA is filed under the name Himacerus nodipes. RNAcentral describes it as "tRNA-Met". The record is from RNAcentral. Lineage: Eukaryota; Metazoa; Arthropoda; Insecta; Hemiptera; Nabidae.
AAAAAGAUAAGCUAAUUAAGCUAUUAGGUUCAUACCCUGAAUAUAGAAGCAAUUUAACCUUCUUCUUUUUA